RNAcentral lists this transfer RNA (76 nucleotides) under Candidatus Peregrinibacteria bacterium. Its description in RNAcentral is "tRNA-Lys". It matches the Rfam family "tRNA". From Rfam's summary of the family: Transfer RNA (tRNA) molecules are approximately 80 nucleotides in length. Lineage: Bacteria; Candidatus Peregrinibacteriota. The record is from RNAcentral.
GGGUCAGUAGCUCAGCCGGUAGAGCAGUUGCCUCUUAAGCAAUUGGUCGUGGGUUCAAGUCCCACCUGACCCACCA